UGGGGAAUAUUGCACAAUGGAGGGAACUCUGAUGCAGCGACGCCGCGUGAACGAAGAAGGCUUUCGAGUCGUAAAGUUCUUUUAUAUGGGAAGAUAAUGACGGUACCAUAAGAAAAAGCCCCGGCUAACUACGUGCCAGCAGCCGCGGUAAUACGUAGGGGGCUAGCGUUGUCCGGAAUCACUGGGCGUAAAGGGUUCGCAGGCGGAAAUGCAAGUCAGGUGUAAAAGGCAGUAGCUUAACUACUGUAAGCAUUUGAAACUGCAUAUCUUGAGAAGAGUAGAGGUAAGUGGAAUUUUUAGUGUAGCGGUGAAAUGCGUAGAUAUUAAAAAGAAUACCGGUGGCGAAGGCGACUUACCGGGCUCAUUCUGACGCUGAGGAACGAAAGCGUGGGUAGCAAACAGG
Molecule: ribosomal RNA, 403 nt
Filed under: bacterium
Lineage: Bacteria
Also listed under: 1 other name
Description: partial 16S ribosomal RNA
Rfam family: Bacterial small subunit ribosomal RNA
Source: RNAcentral